Long non-coding RNA from Capsicum annuum, 595 nucleotides. RefSeq lists it as uncharacterized. The record is from RefSeq and is a predicted model, not a curated record. Lineage: Eukaryota; Viridiplantae; Streptophyta; Magnoliopsida; Solanales; Solanaceae. The transcript is spliced from 2 exons.
UUUGUUUGCUGUAUAUUACUCUAUUUUUCUUGGGUUUGUUUGUCUCUUCUUGGUUCAAGUUGAAAGGGACAGUUUACUCUUGAUAUUUUCCGCUGCUACCCUGUCAGGCUCUUUGAUUGUGUGCCUGUCUUUCCUAACAUUUAAGUCCUUGUGAUAUUGCAGAGAAUGAAAUGGAAGUCAAACCAUUUAACAAACUUAAGAUGAAUUACUAUAGGACAAUGCAGAGCGAUAUCACAAGAAAUAAUAUGCUUUUGAAUGUAUACUCGAAAAUCCAUCUGACUUUUGAAGGUGAAGACAAUUAUGAAAUUCCAUAUGCUUAUGGAAUGGGACUUAUUUCUUAUGAACUCUAUGAGGUUGAAUUUUCUUUGGUGUUAUAUCUGUACAUUGUCAUUAACUUUACUCACACUUAAUGGGCGUGAAGUUCGUUGAUUAGGGUAGAAGGUUAGUAGGUGGUGGAACGUUUUCUUGCUUUUCGACAGGUUUAGGCUUGGUGAUGUCUAUUGUAGUAUUAACCUUAUUAUGGUAGUGCCUUACUUUUGAUUUUUGUUAAUCAUCCGUUGUUUAUGGUAUAUUGGUUAUUGCACUUUUUUUUUUU